Non-coding RNA from Schizosaccharomyces pombe (fission yeast), 623 nucleotides. Lineage: Eukaryota; Fungi; Ascomycota; Schizosaccharomycetes; Schizosaccharomycetales; Schizosaccharomycetaceae. The record is from the annotation of a GenBank genome assembly.
ACUUCAAAGUCGACCAAAUUUAUUCUGUAUAACAGACAAUCAAAAGACGUUAAUACAAUUUAAUCAAAACGUACCAGCUAAUGAAGCAAUAUUUUCCAGCAAUUGUUGCUCGUUCAUUGUGAAUGCCGCCUAGAACUAAUAAAUAAAUAUAACGAACGGAUGUUUUUUUUUGUAAAAUAAACCAACAGCUUUAAUGUCUUUUAUUGAACUUGAAUCGUCCAAGUAUUUCCUGUUUUAAACCACCACUUGAUAUAUUAUGCAAAAGCUCUUGUUUGCUCAAUGUUUUAAAAUGAGUGGUUUUCCACUUUAAUGGUCUUUCGUUCUAUAAGUGAAUCUUUUAAAAAAAAGUCUUUGAGAACCUUUCCUUAAACAAAACUGUUUAAGUUAAAUGCCCAAAUAAUUGAACGACAACGAUUAACCAAGGUCUUUACUUUUUUUAACGACAGGCAAGAGCUUAUAUGUUUGACAAUGACCUUUUUGAAAACGUCGUUACAAAAACAAAAAAACUAUGAAAAAGUCCUUGAAAUAAAUUCUUACAGUAAUUAGAUGUGGUAAGGUAUUUCUAAGUCGACAGAUUAGAGUAGCGUAGUCGGUGGCACCAACAAUGUCGGAGUAGCAUCAAU